AGAGAGAGACAUGCGCGCAUAUCAAUAAGCGGAGGAAAAGAAACUAACAAGGAUUCCCCUAGUAACGGCGAGUGAAGCGGGAAGAGCUCAAAUUUGAAAUCUUAAAGGGUUUCCCUUUACGAAUUGUAGUUUAAAGAAGUGUUUUCUGUUGAGGUUUUGGUAAAAGUUCUUUGGAAUAGGACAUCAUAGAGGGUGAGAAUCCCGUAUUUGACCUUUACUUUCAACUUUGUGAUACACUUUCAAAGAGUCGGAUUGUUUGGGAAUGCAGUCCAAAAUGGGUGGUAAAUUUCAUCUAAAGCUAAAUAUUGGCGAGAGACCGAUAGCGAACAAGUACCGUGAGGGAAAGAUGAAAAGAACUUUGAAAAGAGAAUUAAACAGUACGUGAAAUUGUCAAAAGGGAAGCGUUUGACACCAGUGUUGUUUUUCUGAAAAUCAAUUAAAGGAACUGUUUAUGCUAAGUUGUUUAGACUUUAUCAGCUAACUGUUUAGUUUUGAGCUUUUCUUUAAUGCACUUUUCAGUUAACAAGUCAACAUCAAUUUCUUUUGCUGUAAAAAAGCUUGAGGAAGGUGGCUUGAGAUUCGUCUUAAGUGUUUAUAGCCUCUUGCCUAUGCAGUCGGAGAGAUUGAGGUCUGCAGCGUAGAUCCUUCGGGGCUAAAUGCAUUUGUGCUAAGUUAUAGCAUUUUAUAGACAACUUGUUGACUAUGAUUUGUCUUGUAGCUUACUCGCUUAUGUUAUUUUACCUACGCUUAGGAUGUUGAGCGCAUGUCUCUCUCU
RNAcentral lists this ribosomal RNA (775 nucleotides) under uncultured Neocallimastigales. RNAcentral describes it as "partial large subunit ribosomal RNA". It matches the Rfam family "Eukaryotic large subunit ribosomal RNA", at positions 23 to 616 of the family's 3401-position model. The record is from RNAcentral. Lineage: Eukaryota; Fungi; Neocallimastigomycota; Neocallimastigomycetes; Neocallimastigales.